UGGGGAUUAGCCAAGUCGGUAAGGCAGCGGACUUUGACUCCGUCAUUCACAGGUUCGAGUCCUGUAUCCCCAGCCA
Molecule: transfer RNA, 76 nt
Filed under: Clostridia bacterium
Lineage: Bacteria; Bacillati; Bacillota; Clostridia
Description: tRNA-Gln
Rfam family: tRNA
About the family: Transfer RNA (tRNA) molecules are approximately 80 nucleotides in length.
Source: RNAcentral